CCCUUAGAUGUUCGGGGCCGCACGCGCGCUACACUGAAGGAAUCAGCACGUCUUUCUCCUUGUCUGAAAGGACUGGGUAACCCGCUGAACCUCCUUCGUGCUAGGGAUUGGGGCUUGUAAUUCUUCCCCAUGAACGAGGAAUUCCCAGUAAGCGCGAGUCAUAAGCUCGCGUUGAUUACGUCCCUGCCCUUUGUACACACCGCCCGUCGCUACUACCGAUUGGAUGGUUUAGUGAGAUCCUCGGAUUGGUCCCGGAGCGGCCUCUGGUCGUGCCGGAGUGCCGAAAAGAAUGUCGAACUUGAUCAUCUAGAGGAAGUAAAAGUCGUAACA
RNAcentral lists this ribosomal RNA (330 nucleotides) under uncultured eukaryote. RNAcentral's name for it is "partial 18S ribosomal RNA". It matches the Rfam family "Eukaryotic small subunit ribosomal RNA", at positions 1470 to 1796 of the family's 1831-position model. The record is from RNAcentral.